Molecule: long non-coding RNA, 208 nt
Filed under: Elaeis guineensis (African oil palm)
Lineage: Eukaryota; Viridiplantae; Streptophyta; Magnoliopsida; Arecales; Arecaceae
Description: long non-coding RNA (EGUI_LNC068502)
Source: RNAcentral
UUCCCCGAACUCCAGCUGCAGGUAGCCUUCGUCCGGGCUCCUACGGGAGUCAGACUUCUGCCCUGAACUCCUGUUGCAGGUAGACCUCAUCCGAACUCCUACAAAGGCCGGACUCCGAGCUCCUACUGCAAGCGAUCUACUCCGAGCUUCUACUGUAGGCUUCAGUCGAGCUUCCUCAUGAAAAUAUCCCCAUCCGGGCUUCUACGGA